AACCUUGUCCUUAGUUACCAGCACGUUAUGGUGGGCACUCUAAGGAGACUGCCGGUGACAAACCGGAGGAAGGGUGGGGAUGACGUCAAGUCAUCAUGGCCCUUACGGCCUGGGCUACACACGUGCUACAAUGGUCGGUACAAAGGGUUGCCAAGCCGCGAGGUGGAGCUAAUCCCAUAAAACCGAUCGUAGUCCGGAUCGCAGUCUGCAACUCGACUGCGUGAAGUCGGAAUCGCUAGUAAUCGUGAAAUCAGAAUGUCACGGUGAAUACGUUCCCGGGCCUU
This 284-nucleotide ribosomal RNA is filed under the name uncultured Pseudomonas sp. RNAcentral describes it as "partial 16S ribosomal RNA". It matches the Rfam family "Bacterial small subunit ribosomal RNA", at positions 1101 to 1382 of the family's 1533-position model. The record is from RNAcentral. Lineage: Bacteria; Pseudomonadati; Pseudomonadota; Gammaproteobacteria; Pseudomonadales; Pseudomonadaceae.